Molecule: ribosomal RNA, 253 nt
Filed under: uncultured bacterium
Lineage: Bacteria
Description: partial 16S ribosomal RNA
Rfam family: Bacterial small subunit ribosomal RNA
Source: RNAcentral
UACGGAGGGUGCAAGCGUUAUCCGGAUUUAUUGGGCUUAAAGGGUCCGUAGGCGGAUCUGUAAGUCAGUGGUGAAAUCUCACAGCUUAACUGUGAAACUGCCAUUGAUACUGCAGGUCUUGAGUGUUAUUGAAGUAGCUGGAAUAAGUAGUGUAGCGGUGAAAUGCAUAGAUAUUACGUAGAACACCAAUUGCGAAGGCAGGUUACUAAGCAACAACUGACGCUGAUGGACGAAAGCGUGGGGAGCGAACAGG